GUGGGGAAUAUUGGACAAUGGGCGAAAGCCUGAUCCAGCCAUGCCGCGUGUGUGAAGAAGGUCUUCGGAUUGUAAAGCACUUUAAGUUGGGAGGAAGGGCAGUAAGUUAAUACCUUGCUGUUUUGACGUUACCAACAGAAUAAGCACCGGCUAACUUCGUGCCAGCAGCCGCGGUAAUACGAAGGGUGCAAGCGUUAAUCGGAAUUACUGGGCGUAAAGCGCGCGUAGGUGGUUCAGCAAGUUGAAGGUGAAAUCCACUGGCUCAACCUGGGAACUGCCUCCAAAACUACUGAGCUAGAGUACGGUAGAGGGUAGUGGAAUUUCCUGUGUAGCGGUGAAAUGCGUAGAUAUAGGAAGGAACACCAGUGGCGAAGGCGACUACCUGGACUGAUACUGACACUGAGGUGCGAAAGCGUGGGGAGCAAACAGGAUUAGAAACCCCGGUAGUCC
Molecule: ribosomal RNA, 450 nt
Filed under: uncultured bacterium
Lineage: Bacteria
Description: partial 16S ribosomal RNA
Rfam family: Bacterial small subunit ribosomal RNA
Source: RNAcentral